Molecule: non-coding RNA, 93 nt
Organism: Cucumis sativus (cucumber)
Lineage: Eukaryota; Viridiplantae; Streptophyta; Magnoliopsida; Cucurbitales; Cucurbitaceae
Source: Rfam
UCUACCAUGUUAAGACUGUUUUCAUGUAAGGAGGUGACUUCUAUUGUGUAUUUCUGAUGAAAUCUAUUUCUUACGGUUGGCUUCAUCUGUUUU